GAUGUAUUGGAAGAAGAGGAGGAGAUUGGGGAUCUGAUUAACACCAGGAGAGACGUGACUAUUGUGGAUCCUCUGCGGAGCCUCAACAACAUCAUGAAGCUGAGGAGGCAGAGAAGAGUCCCUCCAGAUCAGAACACCUCAAGAAACACCAGCGGAAACCCACAGGGAAGAAAUCUCACCGCUGCUCUGACUGUGGGAAGAGUUACUCAAGAUCAGAUUCACUAAAAGUACACCAGAGAAUUCACACAGGCGAUACAGCUCACUGCUGCUCUGACUGUGGGAAGAUAUUCACUUCUUCAGCAGACCUCAAAAGACAUGAGAGAAUCCACACAGGGGAGAAACCUUAUAGCUGUGAUCAAUGUGGGAAGAGUUUUAAUGUUCCAAGCAGCCUGAAAACACACCAGAGAACACACACAGGGGAGAAACCUUAUAGUUGCGCUGUCUGUGGGAAGACCUUUUCGAAAUUAUAUACAUUACAAUCACACCAAAGAAUUCACACUGGAGAGAAGCUUCAUAGCUGCUCUGACUGUGGGAAGAGUUUUUCAAAAUUAUAUACAUUACAAUUACACAAGAGAAUUCACACUGGAGAGAAACUUUAUAGCUGUAACCAAUGUGGGAAGAGUUUUACUCACUCAAGCUGCCUGAAGGUUCAUCAGAGAACACACACUGGAGAGAGACCUUAUAGCUGUGAUCAAUGUGAGAAGAGAUUUGUUACAUCUAGCAGUCUGACUAUACACCAGAGAACACACACAGGAGAGAAACCUUAUAGCUGUGAUCAAUGUGGGAAAAGUUUUACUUCAUCUAGCCAUCUGACUAUUCACCAGCGGACACACAAGAGAGAAACCUUAUAGCUGUAAUCAAUGUGGGAAGAGUUUUACCUAGCCAAACAUCCUGAUAUCACACCAGAGAACACACACAGGAGAGAAAUCUUAUAGCUGUGAUCAAUGUGGAAAGAGAUACUUUACCAGUGUAUCUCUGAAUGAACAUCAGAAAAUACAUACAUGAAGGAGUUGUUUCAUGAUAUCAAUAAAAUAAUGUCACAGUGUAGAAUGUUUUUAACAUUGUAGGAGGAGUAUUUUAAUGAAUAAUGUCCCAAUGUAGAACCUUAAACGUUUGCCCCCUGUUCUAUUGAUUUCAGCGUGAUAUGGAUAUUAGCCUCAUCAGGGGAAAAAUCCACUUGUCAAAACAACAGCGGUUUUUGGUGAUUGUGAGGUUUUAUAAGGUGGUUGUUUAAAACAAAUAUUUAAAUAAAUACAAGUAAUAUGAUUACUAUUAUGUUUCUGUAGAUUUUAGGUUUAGGUUUUCAUUAUAUCACUAACUGUUUUCGGGUAUUGAUUUGGACACAUUAAAGGGGGUGUACGUUCGGUUUUGAUAUUUCAUCAUAUUUACAUUUCAUGUAACAUUUAGUAAUCAUAAUUAUUUAUGCAACCUACUGACAAUUUUUUGGUACAAUUUAUAUUGUUUACAAACAAUGUAGUAAAACUAGCUUAUAUUUUGGGCUGGAUAUUACAUCAUAUUCUUACUGUUUUAACCAAUGUUAUUUCCUUAGAUGCUCUUUAGUCUUUCAGCUUUUAUUGUUAUUCUUUAGUUUUUUAUCCACUGUUUGUUGUGUAGUAAAUAUUUGUUUUUAUUUUCAUAGUUUUUAUAAAUUUGUGAAGCCAUUGCUUUGCAUCCAUGUCUGAAAUGUGCUAUAUAAAUAAAGCUUGAUUUGAUUUGAACAUA
Molecule: long non-coding RNA, 1722 nt
Organism: Coregonus clupeaformis (lake whitefish)
Lineage: Eukaryota; Metazoa; Chordata; Actinopteri; Salmoniformes; Salmonidae
Exons: 2
Source: RefSeq, a predicted model, not a curated record